UACAGAGGGUGCAAGCGUUAAUCGGAAUUACUGGGCGUAAAGCGCGCGUAGGUGGUUCGUUAAGUUGGAUGUGAAAUCCCCGGGCUCAACCUGGGAACUGCAUUCAAAACUGACGAGCUAGAGUAUGGUAGAGGGUGGUGGAAUUUCCUGUGUAGCGGUGAAAUGCGUAGAUAUAGGAAGGAACACCAGUGGCGAAGGCGACCACCUGGACUGAUACUGACACUGAGGUGCGGAAAGCGUGGGGAGCAAACAGG
Molecule: ribosomal RNA, 254 nt
Filed under: uncultured bacterium
Lineage: Bacteria
Description: partial 16S ribosomal RNA
Rfam family: Bacterial small subunit ribosomal RNA
Source: RNAcentral